This is a long non-coding RNA of Electrophorus electricus (electric eel), 399 nucleotides long. RefSeq lists it as uncharacterized. NCBI's taxonomy places the organism in Eukaryota, Metazoa, Chordata, Actinopteri, Gymnotiformes, Gymnotidae. The record is from RefSeq and is a predicted model, not a curated record.
GUCACAUCAUGCUUAUGGCACAGGACUGCUGCCUGAACCCAUGCACCCUCUGACAUGAAAUACCAUGAUGACUCAUGAGUAUUUGCAGAUUGUGUUUCUGCAGUUCUCAGCAGGAUGGAAGCAUCACAUAAAAGAGAAACCAGCAAACCAGAAAGCAGAAGGAUAUAAGAAAAGAGAAGGAAAAUGCCACGGACCCAGAAAGCACAUAAAAUCGUGUUUUUGUGUGUGCGUGCGUGUGUGCGUGUGUGUACGUACACAUGUGCAGGCAUCUUUCACUCACCUACAGAUUGUAGCACUCCAAUUUCUGGAUAAGAGAGAUUUCCUGAACAGGAGUCCAGGGUCCAUGUCCUGCCCCUGUGUAGGCACACACCCUGAAAGAGAUGUUGGACAGUGGGGCAG